CGGCUGUAGCUAAAUUAAUCCAUCAAAUGGUAGGAAGUUAUAUGGUCGGGUGUUGAAUAUUUUCGAUCAACAUUUUCGCUUACCGAAUUUCUCACAUAU
This 99-nucleotide small nucleolar RNA is filed under the name Zostera marina. RNAcentral describes it as "Small nucleolar RNA snoR109". It matches the Rfam family "Small nucleolar RNA snoR109". The record is from Rfam by way of RNAcentral. Lineage: Eukaryota; Viridiplantae; Streptophyta; Magnoliopsida; Alismatales; Zosteraceae.